AGAACUGUCAAUAAUUAACCAGGUUAUGUAGAAAAUUAUAAUAAAAUGUAACGUUUUUCACUGAAAAUUCAAUAUACACUUCAUCAAAGACUAGAAUUGGUUGUCAAAUUUUAAAUUUCGAUUUAAACGAACUCAAAAUCGAUAGUUUUUUUCCUAUUUUACAAAGUUUUAACGAAAAAUUACGGGAUUACAAAAAGUGCCUGUUUGUGUGUAUACGUGUAUUGAUCGUAAAUCUUGAAGGUCCGUCGCCCGAUCCCGAUCCUCUCACUUCAUCUUCUUCGUCUUCGAUGUCAGGACCGGCUCCAGAACCGGAUCCUUCGGUACCGUCUCGUUGCAUAUCGGAUUCCGAAUAAUUAGGACCCACAGAACUUAUAGCCAUCUAGACAUAAUAAUUACGUAAUGUAUAUAUUUUUUAAUUUAAUAUACUGAGGAAAAUGUAACAAGAGUUGAUCGAAUCGAUUUAUAAUCGAUAUAACUGAAUACGGAACUGUUAUGAUUCUCAAACUGUUCCGACUAGUACUCGAAGGUCACAAAAUUGUUGAUUGUAAUGGACACAAUGUUGUCAGAUCUCUAUUAACGUCUAUAUAUUUCCGAAAUUGAUCUAAAGAUGUUUAUAAAUCGGUUCUCAUCUAUUUUUCGAGGGAAAUUAUUUAGAAAAAAAUUAUGUUUGGUAUAUUUUAAUCUUAUAUACAGGGUGAUAAUUUAUUUAUUUAUAAAAUAAUCAUUUUAUUUAUGAAGUUUUGUUGAAUUUGACAAUACUGGUAUUUGUACUAGAUGCAAUGUUGAUAUUAAUGAAUAUACAGGAUGUCCCAAAUUUUGGAUUCGAGAUAAAACUUUAGAAAUGCGUAAUUAUGUACAUGUAUUGUAUAAAAAAUUAAUUUUAAUCAACAAAUCUGAGAAUUUUCCAAUAUAAAAAAUAAAAAAAGUUGAUAUUUUCAAUAUUUUGUUGAUUUUUCAAAUUUGAAACUUCAAAAUCAAAAUUUCGACAAACUUUUUUGGCAAAUAAAAAAUUUUUUUUGAAAAAUGUAUUUUUUUUCGUAAAAUAUAUUAAAAAACGAACAGGUUAUUAAACUUUUUGAAAAAGCUAGAAAUUAUCUCAUUUAUUCUAGAUUGAUGAAAAAUCAUGAAAUCGACAUUUGUGAAAAUUUUUUUUGACACACUUAAGACAUAAGUGGGACUUUAGUUCAAAAACCAAAAUUUUAAUAUUUUUUUUCUUCGAUUCGUGCAAAAUCUAGAUCGAUUUAACUAAUUUUUAUUUCAAAUUUCAUUAAACUUACAUGAAAAAACUAAA
Molecule: long non-coding RNA, 1291 nt
Organism: Diorhabda sublineata
Lineage: Eukaryota; Metazoa; Arthropoda; Insecta; Coleoptera; Chrysomelidae
Exons: 2
Source: RefSeq, a predicted model, not a curated record